Molecule: unclassified non-coding RNA, 392 nt
Filed under: soil metagenome
Description: partial contains 5.8S ribosomal RNA, internal transcribed spacer 2, and large subunit ribosomal RNA
Rfam family: 5.8S ribosomal RNA (bases 1-122)
Source: RNAcentral
GAUGAAGAACGUAGCGAAAUGCGAUACUUGGUGUGAAUUGCAGAAUCCCGUGAACCAUCGAGUCUUUGAACGCAAGUUGCGCCCGAAGCCACUAGGCCGAGGGCACGCCUGCCUGGGCGUCACACGCCGUUGCCCCCCCAUCUACUCCUUCGGGAUUGCGGGGGGGCGGAUGAUGGCCUCCUGUGCGCCUAGCCGCGCGGUUGGCAUAAAUACCAAGUCCUCGGCGACGCACGCCACGACAAUCGGUGGUUGCGAAACCUCGGUUGCCCGUCGUGUGCGUUCGUCGCGCAUCGAGGGCUCGAAAAAAUGCUCGGCUCCGGCUGGGCUUUCAACGCGACCCCAGGUCAGGCGGGGUUACCCGCUGAAUUUAAGCAUAUCAAUAAGCGGAGGAA